RNAcentral lists this ribosomal RNA (459 nucleotides) under uncultured bacterium. RNAcentral's name for it is "partial 16S ribosomal RNA". It matches the Rfam family "Bacterial small subunit ribosomal RNA", at positions 338 to 795 of the family's 1533-position model. The record is from RNAcentral.
CCUACGGGUGGCAGCAGUGAGGAAUAUUGGUCAAUGGGCGCGAGCCUGACCCAGCCAAGUCGCGUGAGGGAAGACGGUCCUCUGAUUUGUAAACCUCUUUUGUCGGGGAGCAAAAGACGCCACGCGUGGCGUUCCGAGAUUACCCGAAGAAAAAGCAUCGGCUAACUCGGUGCCAGCAGCCGCGGUAAUACGGAGGAUGCGAGCGUGAUCCGGAUUUAUUGGGUUUAAAGGGUGCGCAGGCGGAAGAUCAAGUCAGCGGUAAAAUUGAGAGGCUCAACCUCUUCGAGCCGUUGAAACUGGUUGUCUUGAGUGAGCGAGAAGUAUGCGGAAUGCGUGGUGUAGCGGUGAAAUGCAUAGAUAUCACGCAGAACUCCGAUUGCGAAGGCAGCAUACCGGCGCUCAACUGACGCUCAUGCACGAAAGUGUGGGUAUCGAACAGGAUUAGAUACCCGAGUAGUC